AAGGGCACCACAAGAACGCGUGGAGCAUGUGGCUUAAUUUGACUCAACGCGGGAAAGCUUAUCGGGUCCGGACACACUGAGGAUUGACAGGCGAGAUAUAUUCGUAUAUCGCUACAUUUGUAAGUCCUUUCAUGAUUGUGUGAUAGGUGGUGCAUGGCCGUUCUUAGUUCGUGGAGUGAUCUGUCUGCUUAAUUGCGUUUCAGAUAAAAGGCACUACACUGCGAGGUGUCUUAUAUACUUGUUAUAUUUGCGCGCUGAGCGGGUAUGCCUUUGAAAGCAACGAACGUGACCUCAGCUCGAUGUUAUGUACAUUAUAAGUACAAGUAACCUUCGAGGACUGCCAUGGUGUAAACCAGGAGGAAGGUUGAGGCAAUAACAGGUCUGUGAUGCCCUUAGAUGUUCCGGGCUGCACACGUGCUACAAUGAUUGUUGCAGAAAGUAUCUGCAUAAGCAAGCCACUAUAGGUUUAUUCUUAUAGGCUAGGCUUCAGUAUACUCUUUAUUGAGUAAACAAAAGACCUAUCUCGAAAGUUCGAUAGGCAAUCAAUUCCAAGUGAUAAUCUCUCACAUACCCUGCACAAGUCCAAGCAAGAGUGUAGCAAUCACGUAUUUAUACGCCGUUUGACUCGCCUUGCUGUGCUCUGUAAAUUCAUGGUCGGGACAGACCAUUGAAUAAUUGUUGGUCUCGGUCUCAACUAGGAAUGCCUUGUACGGGUCUCUGGUUCAACAAACCACCCGGAAUACGUCCCUGCCCUUUGUACACACCGCCCGUCGCUCUUACCGAUGGACUUCUCUGUGAGUUCGAGGGACUGGCAUUAUGCGUUGUCAAAGACGUAGCUAUGGAAACUCGAACGAACAGUGUGGUCUAAAGGAAGGAGAAGUCGAACAAGGCA
RNAcentral lists this ribosomal RNA (892 nucleotides) under Saccamminid sp. ICEMON 3. RNAcentral's name for it is "bacterial SSU rRNA". It matches the Rfam family "Eukaryotic small subunit ribosomal RNA", at positions 1160 to 1801 of the family's 1831-position model. Lineage: Eukaryota; Foraminifera. The record is from RNAcentral.